This is a long non-coding RNA of Anguilla anguilla (European eel), 687 nucleotides long. RefSeq lists it as uncharacterized. The transcript has 3 exons. The record is from RefSeq and is a predicted model, not a curated record. Lineage: Eukaryota; Metazoa; Chordata; Actinopteri; Anguilliformes; Anguillidae.
GUGUGCUGAAGAAGGCACGACCGAAGGAUUUUCCACUUACCUCUCGUAGCUACCAUUUUGGCGUGUCAAACUAAGUACCGUCUUUUAAUUGAAACAGCCAUACGGCACAAGCAUAGCCGGAGAACAUUACAAACCUUUUUAGAAAACCCUGAACAAACGAAGCUGGACGCAGCUAGCGCUGGUAAGCGACCGCUUUCUGGGACCCCCGACGCCGUUGUCGAUAAGGAGGGCGACCGGACGAAGACGCAGUGCCCCGAAGCCGGUAGCGUCUCCCUGCAGCUGCGUUGCGAAGUUAAAGGCUCCCAUGAGGACAGACCCCGCAGAAGAGUUCAUUAAGCAAUACGGUCAAUCACAGCCUUCUUCACAUAAUCAUAACAGUCUGAGAGACUGUGAUUGAAUUAAUGCAGGAGAACAAGGACCUGAAAGCAGAGAACGCUAAAUGGAAGGAGAUGGUUCUUCAAGAAGUGCCAGGACUCCUACUGAACAUGAGGAAUGUAAUUGAUUCGGCUGCAACUCCUAAGAGAUCCAAAUUGAAGCUUACCACACCACCGCUGGCCCUCAAGGUCUCCGCAGUCCAGGUCCAGUUCUCCAUCUGCCACUUCACCACUGUCCCUCCCCAGAUCUACGCCGUCCAUUUCCACGUCUGCGUCUGUCACUCCAUCAAUGACUGUCUCCCACUCUUCUAAG